This 76-nucleotide transfer RNA is filed under the name Acidimicrobiaceae bacterium. Its description in RNAcentral is "tRNA-Met". It matches the Rfam family "tRNA". Rfam says of the family: Transfer RNA (tRNA) molecules are approximately 80 nucleotides in length. Their secondary structure includes four short double-helical elements and three loops (D, anti-codon, and T loops). Further hydrogen bonds mediate the characteristic L-shaped molecular structure. tRNAs have two regions of fundamental functional importance: the anti-codon, which is responsible for specific mRNA codon recognition, and the 3' end, to which the tRNAs corresponding amino acid is attached (by aminoacyl-tRNA synthetases). tRNAs cope with the degeneracy of the genetic code in two manners: having more than one tRNA (with a specific anti-codon) for a particular amino acid; and 'wobble' base-pairing, i.e. permitting non-standard base-pairing at the 3rd anti-codon position. RNAcentral also lists the same sequence under 2 other names. The record is from RNAcentral. Lineage: Bacteria; Bacillati; Actinomycetota; Acidimicrobiia; Acidimicrobiales; Acidimicrobiaceae.
GGGCCGGUAGCUCAGUGGUUAGAGCAGGCGACUCAUAAUCGCUCGGUCGUGGGUUCGAUCCCCGCCCGGCCCACCA